UUCCUGUGGUGCAAUGGGUUAUUGUGUCUGGCUGUUAACCAGAAGGUUGGUGGCUUGAGCCCACUGAGGGAAG
Molecule: non-coding RNA, 73 nt
Organism: Podarcis lilfordi (Lilford's wall lizard)
Lineage: Eukaryota; Metazoa; Chordata; Lepidosauria; Squamata; Lacertidae
Source: the annotation of a GenBank genome assembly